This 253-nucleotide ribosomal RNA is filed under the name uncultured bacterium. Its description in RNAcentral is "partial 16S ribosomal RNA". It matches the Rfam family "Bacterial small subunit ribosomal RNA", at positions 524 to 776 of the family's 1533-position model. The record is from RNAcentral.
UACAGAGGGGGCAAGCGUUGUUCGGAAUUACUGGGCGUAAAGGGCGCGUAGGCGGCCUGCUAAGUCGAACGUGAAAUCCCCGAGCUCAACUCGGGAACUGCGUCCGAUACUGGCAGGCUUGAAUCCGGGAGAGGGAUGCGGAAUUCCAGGUGUAGCGGUGAAAUGCGUAGAUAUCUGGAGGAACACCGGUGGCGAAGGCGGCAUCCUGGACCGACACUGACGCUGAGGCGCGAAAGCCAGGGGAGCGAACGGG